Molecule: ribosomal RNA, 464 nt
Filed under: uncultured bacterium
Lineage: Bacteria
Description: partial 16S ribosomal RNA
Rfam family: Bacterial small subunit ribosomal RNA
Source: RNAcentral
CUACGGGCGGCAGCAGUGGGGAAUAUUGCACAAUGGGCGCAAGCCUGAUGCAGCCAUGCCGCGUGUAUGAAGAAGGCCUUCGGGUUGUAAAGUACUUUCAGCGGGGAGGAAGGGAGUAAAGUUAAUACCUUUGCUCAUUGACGUUACCCGCAGAAGAAGCACCGGCUAAGUCCGUGCCAGCAGCCGCGGUAAUACGGAGGGUGCAAGCGUUAAUCGGAAUUACUGGGCGUAAAGCGCACGCAGGCGGUUUGUUAAGUCAGAUGUGAAAUCCCCGGGCUCAACCUGGGAACUGCAUCGGGUACUGGCAAGGUUGAGUGUCGUAGAGGGGGGUAGAAUUCCAGGUGUAGCGGUGAAAUGCGUAGAGAUCUGGAGGAAUACCGGUGGCGAAGGCGGCCCCCUGGACGAAGACUGACGCUCAGGUGCGAAAGCGUGGGGAGCAAACAGGAUUAGAUACCCGCGUAGUC